UUCUAUGGCUUGGCUUGCCACACUCGAAACAAACAUCAUUGUCAGCUCUACAGACACCUUGAUGGUUUAUGCCAUAUUUCUGGAAAAGAGGAUUUAUUCGAGCACUGCUGAUACUAACAUGAGAUUUAGAGCCUGGCGCCCUAUAUUUGUUACCAUUUCUGAACUUAGGGACUAGAGCAUUAGCUGAGGACAGAGUUGGAACUAAAGACUUUGGAUGGAACUGGGAACG
RNAcentral lists this long non-coding RNA (229 nucleotides) under Capsicum annuum. RNAcentral describes it as "long non-coding RNA (CANN_LNC013790)". The record is from RNAcentral. Lineage: Eukaryota; Viridiplantae; Streptophyta; Magnoliopsida; Solanales; Solanaceae.